CAGUAGCCGCGGUAAUACGUAGGGUGCAAGCGUUAAUCGGAAUUACUGGGCGUAAAGCGUGCGCAGGCGGUUAUAUAAGUCAGAUGUGAAAUCCCCGGGCUCAACCUGGGAACUGCAUUUGAGACUGUAUGGCUAGAGUGUGUCAGAGGGGGGUAGAAUUCCACGUGUAGCAGUGAAACGCGUAGAUAUGUGGAGGAAUACCGAUGGCGAAGGCAGCCCCCUGGGAUAACACUGACGCUCAUGCACGAAAGCGUGGGGAGCAAAUGGGAUUAGAUACCCCCGUAGUCCCUGUCUCUUAUAA
RNAcentral lists this ribosomal RNA (301 nucleotides) under uncultured bacterium. RNAcentral's name for it is "partial 16S ribosomal RNA". It matches the Rfam family "Bacterial small subunit ribosomal RNA", at positions 509 to 809 of the family's 1533-position model. The record is from RNAcentral.